RNAcentral lists this ribosomal RNA (440 nucleotides) under uncultured bacterium. RNAcentral describes it as "partial 16S ribosomal RNA". It matches the Rfam family "Bacterial small subunit ribosomal RNA", at positions 338 to 795 of the family's 1533-position model. The record is from RNAcentral.
CCUACGGGUGGCAGCAGUGGGGAAUAUUGCACAAUGGGGGAAACCCUGAUGCAGCGACGCCGCGUGAAGGAAGAAGUAAUUCGUUACGUAAAGCUCUAUCAGCAGGGGAGAAAAUGACGGUACCUGAGUAUGAAGCCCCGGCUAACUACGGUCCAGCAGCCGCGGUAACGCGCAGGGGGCAAGCGUUAUCCGGAUUUACUGGGUGUAAAGGGAGAGUAGAUGGUUCGUCAAGACAGUAGUGAAAUGCCUCAGCUUAACUGCGGAAGUGCUUUGGAAACUGGCGAACUUGAGUGCGGGAGGGGUAAGCGGAAUUCGUAGUGUAGCGGUGAAAUGCGUAGAUAUUAGGAAGAACACCGGUUGCGAAGGCGGCUUACUGGACCGUAACUGACGUUGAGGCUCGAAAGCGUGGGGAGCAAACAGGAUUAGAUACCCGUGUAGUC